AUUCCUGUCAUCUUGAAGGCAAGCCACCGAAAGCUUCAUGACCACAAGAGGGCGUGUUCUGUUUUGAAUUUAAUGUAUCUGACUGCUCUCAGUGCCAGUCACAACAUCUGAACAGGUGCGUACAGCAUCUCUGCCACUUCUUCUGUCCUCUGCCUGAGUGCAUUGUGCCUGGCCUGGACAGACCACAUCUCAAAAGGAGACAAGAAUGA
Molecule: long non-coding RNA, 209 nt
Filed under: Dromaius novaehollandiae (emu)
Lineage: Eukaryota; Metazoa; Chordata; Aves; Casuariiformes; Dromaiidae
Description: lncRNA (ENSDNVG00000015227.1)
Source: RNAcentral